GUUGAAAUGGCUGAGACUAGGCGGUAAACUGUAAAUUUAUUUACGAGGGGAUCCUCUUUUAACA
RNAcentral lists this transfer RNA (64 nucleotides) under Agrilus discalis. RNAcentral's name for it is "tRNA-Tyr". Lineage: Eukaryota; Metazoa; Arthropoda; Insecta; Coleoptera; Buprestidae. The record is from RNAcentral.